UACGGAGGGUGCGAGCGUUAAUCGGAAUUACUGGGCGUAAAGGGUGAGUAGGUGGAUGUAUAAGACAUUUGUGAAAGACUUAGGCUUAACCUGAGGGAGUCAGAUGUGACUGUACAUCUUGAGUAUAGGAGAGGGCAGUGGAAUUUCUGGUGUAGCGGUGAAAUGCGUAGAUAUCAGAAGGAACACCGGUGGCGAAGGCGGCUGUCUGGCCUAAUACUGACACUGAGUCACGAAAGCGUGGGGAGCAAACAGG
Molecule: ribosomal RNA, 253 nt
Filed under: uncultured bacterium
Lineage: Bacteria
Description: partial 16S ribosomal RNA
Rfam family: Bacterial small subunit ribosomal RNA
Source: RNAcentral